RNAcentral lists this ribosomal RNA (152 nucleotides) under Vibrio cholerae. RNAcentral describes it as "partial 16S ribosomal RNA". It matches the Rfam family "Bacterial small subunit ribosomal RNA", at positions 1 to 144 of the family's 1533-position model. Lineage: Bacteria; Pseudomonadati; Pseudomonadota; Gammaproteobacteria; Vibrionales; Vibrionaceae. The record is from RNAcentral.
UUUAAUUGAAGAGUUUGAUCAUGGCUCAGAUUGAACGCUGGCGGCAGGCCUAACACAUGCAAGUUGAGCGGCAGCACAGAGGAACUUGUUCCUUGGGUGGCGAGCGGCGGACGGGUGAGUAAUGCCUGGGAAAUUGCCCGGUAGAGGGGGAU